Molecule: transfer RNA, 73 nt
Filed under: Chelonia mydas (Green sea turtle)
Lineage: Eukaryota; Metazoa; Chordata; Testudines; Cheloniidae
Rfam family: tRNA
About the family: Transfer RNA (tRNA) molecules are approximately 80 nucleotides in length. Their secondary structure includes four short double-helical elements and three loops (D, anti-codon, and T loops). Further hydrogen bonds mediate the characteristic L-shaped molecular structure. tRNAs have two regions of fundamental functional importance: the anti-codon, which is responsible for specific mRNA codon recognition, and the 3' end, to which the tRNAs corresponding amino acid is attached (by aminoacyl-tRNA synthetases). tRNAs cope with the degeneracy of the genetic code in two manners: having more than one tRNA (with a specific anti-codon) for a particular amino acid; and 'wobble' base-pairing, i.e. permitting non-standard base-pairing at the 3rd anti-codon position.
Source: Rfam by way of RNAcentral
GUCUGCAUGGCCUAAUGGAUUAGGCAUCUGGCUUCAGAUUAGAAGACUUAUGGUAUGAGUCCCUUUGCAGUUG